CUCAAAUAGUACGAUCCUCGUAGAAGGAACAAUCUCCCUCACUACAACAGCUGGACAAGCUCCAAGAUAGGCUAUCAUGGAAGUAAACUACUUCAUAGUAAAGAGCCUAUCGAUGUACAAUGUCAUCUGAGAUCGGCCUGGAUUGAACACUCUUCGAGCUAUAAUGUCAACCUACCAUUGGACAGUGAAAUUUUCUACUCCUUAUG
This 206-nucleotide long non-coding RNA is filed under the name Elaeis guineensis (African oil palm). RNAcentral describes it as "long non-coding RNA (EGUI_LNC048727)". Lineage: Eukaryota; Viridiplantae; Streptophyta; Magnoliopsida; Arecales; Arecaceae. The record is from RNAcentral.